This 321-nucleotide ribosomal RNA is filed under the name Triticum aestivum (bread wheat). RNAcentral describes it as "partial small subunit ribosomal RNA". The record is from RNAcentral. Lineage: Eukaryota; Viridiplantae; Streptophyta; Magnoliopsida; Poales; Poaceae.
AUGGGGACGGGGAUGAGUUUGCGAUUUUCUCAUGGGGAUGGGUUUGGGCAAACAAAACCCGAUGGGUUUCGUCCCCGUUGCCAUCUUGAGCACCACUCGAUCGAGAAACACGAUGACAAUGGCAUGCUGGGCGAAAUCGGAGAGAAGGCAAGGACAACGACGGAGGAGUUCCUGAAGAUGGCCAAGGAGAAGACCGACGACGUCGCCGAGGGCACAAAGGAGACGGUGCAGGAGACCAAGGAGGUGGUGCUCGGCGAGUCCGGCGAUGACAAGGACAAGUUCAAGCACCGGGUCGAGCAGGGGAGGUACGACCAGAAAUAA